AUUUACACUUGUAGGCUGUUAUGCUUUCCAGAAAACUUUUUCCGUAGGUUGCGAAAGUGAUUAAUCUGCUGUUAAAACUGACAAAGAAGGUUCUCUGAUAAGAGAAAGAAUUAAAUGAGGAAUUUUUCUUUAAAAAAGCUCCACUGGUUCAACAGCCUCUCCUCCAGUUUCGACCCCAGUCACAGGACACAAGAGAAUGGUCAUCCCGAACCAACCCCCUCUAACAGCAACCAAAAAGUCUACAUUGAAACCACAGCCUGCACCCCAGGCUGGACCCAUCCCUGUGGCUCCAAUCGGAACACUCAAACCCCAGCCUCAGCCAGUCCCAGCCUCCUACACCACAGCCUCCACUUCUUCAAGGCCUACCUUUAAUGUGCAGGUGAAGUCAGCCCAGCCCAGCCCUCAUUAUAUGGCUGCCCCUUCAUCAGGACAAAUUUAUGGCUCAGGGCCCCAGGGCUAUAACACUCAGCCAGUUCCUGUCUCUGGGCAGUGUCCACCUCCUUCAACACGGGGAGGCAUGGAUUAUGCCUACAUUCCACCACCAGGACUUCAGCCUGAGCCUGGGUAUGGGUAUGCCCCCAA
This 582-nucleotide small RNA is filed under the name Pan troglodytes (chimpanzee). RNAcentral describes it as "processed transcript". The record is from RNAcentral. Lineage: Eukaryota; Metazoa; Chordata; Mammalia; Primates; Hominidae.